This 454-nucleotide long non-coding RNA is filed under the name Lactuca sativa (garden lettuce). Its description in RNAcentral is "long non-coding RNA (LSAT_LNC007672)". The record is from RNAcentral. Lineage: Eukaryota; Viridiplantae; Streptophyta; Magnoliopsida; Asterales; Asteraceae.
GCCAAUGAGAGGAACAGGAGGAAUGACAGGCCUCGCAACUUUGACCGGUCAAGAAAUUUCGAAAGAAGAAGAGAGAACAUGCAGAGCAACCGUGGACCACCAGUUAUGGGCGGUCCACCACCACCCAUGGGCGGCCCACCACCACCACCUAACUACUUGGGUGGUCCACCACCCAACAACAUGGGCGGACCACCACCCAAUAUGGGAGGUGGCCCACCACCCAAUAACAUGGGAGGAGGUCCACCACCCAGUAACAUGGGGUAUGGAGGUCCUCAGUCCAACAACUGGAAUGGACCACCACCACCUUACAAUGGAGGGCCGCCAAACAUGGGAGGAGGAAUGAGGCCCCCGCCUCCUAAUUACCAGCAGCAGGGAGGAUGGAAUGCACAGAACAAUGGAGGACCAGGGUAUCAAGGGCAAAAUAGUAAUUAUCCUCCUCCUCCUCCUCCUCCAC